GGGUGCGAUCAUACCGGCACUAAUGCACCGGAUCCCAUCAGAACUCCGCAGCUAAGCGUUCUUGGGCGAGAGUAGUACUAGGAUGGGUGACCUCCUGGGAAGUCCUCGUGUUGCACCCC
This 119-nucleotide ribosomal RNA is filed under the name Gossypium raimondii (Peruvian cotton). The record is from RNAcentral. Lineage: Eukaryota; Viridiplantae; Streptophyta; Magnoliopsida; Malvales; Malvaceae.